Molecule: transfer RNA, 71 nt
Filed under: Ovis aries (sheep)
Lineage: Eukaryota; Metazoa; Chordata; Mammalia; Artiodactyla; Bovidae
Rfam family: tRNA
About the family: Transfer RNA (tRNA) molecules are approximately 80 nucleotides in length. Their secondary structure includes four short double-helical elements and three loops (D, anti-codon, and T loops). Further hydrogen bonds mediate the characteristic L-shaped molecular structure. tRNAs have two regions of fundamental functional importance: the anti-codon, which is responsible for specific mRNA codon recognition, and the 3' end, to which the tRNAs corresponding amino acid is attached (by aminoacyl-tRNA synthetases). tRNAs cope with the degeneracy of the genetic code in two manners: having more than one tRNA (with a specific anti-codon) for a particular amino acid; and 'wobble' base-pairing, i.e. permitting non-standard base-pairing at the 3rd anti-codon position.
Source: Rfam by way of RNAcentral
UCCCAGAUGGCUCUGUGGUAAAGAAUCUGCCUGUAAUGCAGGAGACCUGGGUUUGAUCCCUGGGUUGGGAA